CGCACUUCACCGGACUAAGCCUGGAGAGCUUUGUCAAAUUGACAAAAGAACAUGCAGACCUUAUUCGAGAUCUGAAGAGAAAGGCAAGAAAACACUACGACCGCAGCCAUUCGCAGUACAGCUGAGAGAAACUCGUCAUUCUCUUGUCUCGGUUUUUGAUUUCUGUUUGCACAUGUUUGCUUUCCUCGAUUUGAGGUUUAAAAUCACUGAUUGUUUUAUUUCAGUUUUUUUGGACUAAGAGAUUACAGGCUUAUUACAGUUUCGCUUGAGCCGCACAAAUUGCAAACAGCACAAAGAACAGAUUCUGAGGAAUAACAGACUGAAUGGACUUACGUAAUGCACUGAUCUUGUUCAAGCUCUUUUGAGGUCUGUAGUUUUCAUUGAUUGUGUUUCCUCAGUCAAUAAUCUGCUCUUGGUAACAUGCUGUCUGAAAGCUUUUGCAAUGUUGCCUCGCCAACUCAUAACCCAAGAAUGGCUUUUGUUUAGUUUUUUCCUAUUCAAAUGGACUUCAUUUUCGGUUCUAAAUGUAGAACCUUUCAGCCAAACGUGGUUUGCUUGGUUUUAAAUUUGUUGCACAUGUUGUUUGGUAGAGGAGCAAAAGUCCAGGACUUGGUGUUCAUGUGUGUGAUCGGAGCAGAGAGAUAAAACAGGGUGGGGCCUGGGCAGGAUGCCUGAAAAGUUUGUGGCCUUUCUGUUCGUAGUGUGUAGCGGUGCAGGCUUCGAGAUUGCACUGCCUGAAAAAAAGCACUCAGUCUCAGGUCAUCUCACUUGCCAAAUGAAAACAAAA
Rhinichthys klamathensis goyatoka is the source of this 787-nucleotide long non-coding RNA. RefSeq lists it as uncharacterized. The transcript has 2 exons. NCBI's taxonomy places the organism in Eukaryota, Metazoa, Chordata, Actinopteri, Cypriniformes, Leuciscidae. The record is from RefSeq and is a predicted model, not a curated record.